ACGGGUACGGGGUGUUAGGGCACGACACCGGAGAGGGAGCCUGAGAAACGGCUACCACAUCCAAGGAUGGCAGCAGGCGCGCAAAUUACCCAAUCCCGACACGGGGAGGUAGUGACAAUAAAUAACAAUACGGGGUUCUUUAGGAUCUCGUAAUUGGAAUGAGUACAAUUUAAAUCUCUUAACGAGGAACAAUUGGAGGGCAAGUCUGGUGCCAGCAGCCGCGGUAAUUCCAGCUCCAAUAGCGUAUAUUAAAGUUGUUGCAGUUAAAAAGCUCGUAGUUGAAUUUCGGGGUUAGUAGGUUGGUCAUGCCUCUGGUAUGUACUGGUCUCACUGAUUCCUCCUUCCUGAUGAGCCGUAAUGCCAUUAAUUUGGUGUUGCGGGGAAUUUGGACUGUUACUUUGAAAAAAUUAGAGUGUUUAAAGCAAGCUAACGCUUGAAUACAUUAGCAUGGAAUAAUGAAAUAGGACGUUCGAUCCUAUUUUGUUGGUUUCUAGGAUUGACGUAAUGAUUAAUAGGGAUAGUUGGGGGCAUUAGUAUUCAAUUGUCAGAGGUGAAAUUCUUGGAUUUAUUGAAGACUAACUACUGCGAAAGCAUUUGCCAAGGAUGUUUUCAUUAAUCAAGAACGAAAGUUAGGGGAUCGAAGACGAUCAGAUACCGUCGUAGUCUUAACCAUAAACUAUGCCGACUAGGGAUCGGAUGAUGUUAAUUUUUAAUACCCCUCGC
RNAcentral lists this ribosomal RNA (723 nucleotides) under uncultured Glomeromycotina. Its description in RNAcentral is "SSU rRNA". It matches the Rfam family "Eukaryotic small subunit ribosomal RNA", at positions 355 to 1083 of the family's 1831-position model. Lineage: Eukaryota; Fungi; Glomeromycota. The record is from RNAcentral.